This 734-nucleotide long non-coding RNA is filed under the name Musa acuminata (dwarf banana). RNAcentral describes it as "long non-coding RNA (MACU_LNC005438)". Lineage: Eukaryota; Viridiplantae; Streptophyta; Magnoliopsida; Zingiberales; Musaceae. The record is from RNAcentral.
AUGGAAUGACUCCAAUACAGAGGCCAAAAUCUACUGUUGGAAUUCCUAAAAUUGGUCUGUAAGAUUAUGUAGCUGACAGAGAAGGCAGAUUUCUGGGGAGAUUAGGAGAAUAUUUGUAUCUUCUAAUCAGAGAUCUGCAGAGGAAGGCUGCUGGGUUUAGGUUAUUUGGCCAGUGUUUCAGGUAUGUUCUUGCUUUCCAUCUAAUCAUCAUGAGAAUGCUUUUGUUAGAGUAUCAUCUCAAAGAGUUCCAAUUUUGCAUAUGGAGGUAGGAGAGUUUCAUCCAUCUUUGUUGGAAUCGAGGGUUGCAGAUGCAGGCAAUAGAUGCAUUUAUGUAUCUAAUAAUCAUCAGAAUGCUUUAUAUCUCAAAUGGGGACAUCUGCAUAUGGAGGUAGGAGGGUUUCAUCCAUCUUUGGUUGAAUCAAGGGGGGGGUCUGCUUGCCUGCAAUCAGAAUUGCCUAUGUUGAAUGGUUGCAGACUAUGGUUAAUGAUGUAAGUAGCAGUUGGAUGUCUGCAACAUGUGAAGGAAAGGGAGGAGGGAUAUGUGCAUCUCCUUUUUGGAUUGUGACCUACCCUGCAUGCCAGGCUUGUAGCAUUUUAGAUCACAAGUAAUGUUGCAGUUUAUAGGGGGUUUCAUUACACAAGUAGAAGCUGUAUAACUUGCAGUGACCAAACAACCCAAAAUGAAUAUGGAGAAUUUUCCGAUCAACCUCGGAUAUCAGAGUCUGAUUUCAUUU